Molecule: RNA transcript, 1762 nt
Organism: Andrographis paniculata
Lineage: Eukaryota; Viridiplantae; Streptophyta; Magnoliopsida; Lamiales; Acanthaceae
Gene name: FHA domain-containing protein DDL
Exons: 13
Source: RefSeq, a predicted model, not a curated record
GGUAAUUUCUCGAUGUCACUCUCUCGUUUGCAGCAGAUAUUGUUAUAAGGAUUCGCAACUGCGAUUUUUGGAUUUCUUCUUUGGCUCAUGUUUUACUCGAUUUUUGUUAGGUUGAUUAUCUCUUGCUUAGAUAAGCUAUUAUGGUAUAAAUGGGGCGGAGCAGCUCAGAAUCCCCUGUUAAAGCCCGGGGGUCCCCUCGUAGGAGGAGUCCCCCUAGAAGGGAAAGAUCUCCUGUUCGGCACCGUAGUUCAAAUGCAGAGAACCAAUCAAGUCGAAACAGGUCACCUAAACGUGGUAGAUCAAGGUCCCCUGUCUACCGUUCACCUCUAAGGGAGAAACCCUCCAGUCGUAAUAAAUCCCCAAAACAUAGGAAAGUGCCAUCACCUGUGUCACGUUCUCGCUCUCCACUUAAACAAAGAUCAUCUUACCGAAUGAGAUCUCCAAAUAACAUAAGAUCGAGGUCCCCGACAUCUGUUUCACCUGUUAAAGAGAAAUCAUCAUCUCGGAUGAGAUCACCAAAAGGAGUUCAAAACAGAUCUCAAUCACCAGAUAAAAGGAAAGUGUUGGCUCGAACAAUGUCCCCACCGCAUGGUAGAUCAAGGUCUAGUGAUUCUCGCUCUCCAUCUCCACGCAGUAAAAGAUUAAAAAGGGCUAAAGCAGAGCAAGCUGCUGAAAAAGGGAGUGAAAACCAUGGCAGGAAGAAGAGUUACAGAGGCACACAUGAGGAAAAGGAUUUAGACAGGGAUUUGCUAGCUGAGAGAAAUGAUAGACGGCCACAAAGGGAUGCUGUUUCUGGUAGUUCAAAAUCGAGGCACAGACGAUCAUCCUCGCCAUCUGAUCGCCAUCACAGGGGUCAACGAAGAUCAAGAUCGCCUAAUACUGACGAAAGAGAACAUGAUGAGCGGACUACCUCCAGAGAUCUUGAGCAGCGAAAUGGUGACAGUGAUUCAAUAGCUAAGAUGAAGGCUGCUGAAGAGAAAUUGGAAGAAAAGGAAAAACAAAAACCUUCAUUUGAGCUGUCUGGAAAGCUUGCUGCAGAAACUAAUCGGUUCCGAGGCAUAACAUUGCUGUACAGCGAAGAGCCCCCCGAUGCUCGGAAACCAGAUAUAAGGUGGCGAUUGUAUGUAUUCAAAGCCGGUGACGUCCUUAACGAACCCCUUUAUGUGCACCGUCAAAGUUGCUACCUUUUUGGGAGAGAGAGACGGGUUGUCGACAUCCCCACAGACCACCCUUCUUGCAGCAAACAACAUGCUGUUCUUCAGUAUCGGCAAAUAGAAGAGGAGAACCCCGACGGUACUGUAUCAAAACGAGUGAGGCCUUAUUUGAUGGAUCUUGGAAGCACGAACGGGACCUUCAUUAACGACAACCAAAUCGAGGCUAAGCGAUACUACGAGCUGAUUGAAAAAGAUACUGUUAAGUUUGGAAACAGCAGCCGCGAAUAUGUUCUGCUGCACGAGAAUUCGGCUGGAUGAUCGAUGCUUACGUUGCUUCCCAGUGGAAUUUUAUCAUCUGCCCUGGAUGAUGUUUAAUGAGUCCAGCUAGCUCGAGUUCGAAAAACUACUCUUGAGUAUGAUCUAUCUGCAACUUAGAGAAAUGGCAGUAUUUAAGUUAGUCCUGAUAUUCAAUUUUCAACAUGCUGACCUGUAUGAUCCAAAUAUACAACAUGCAUGAUUUGUAUAUUAACAAAAAUUAUAUUCAUAUGGCACACCUAUGAACUAUGUAUUUAUAGAAACAUGUGUUGUGUGUACGGUUUGUAUGAUUA